UGCACAUUAUGUGACUUUCAUCUUUAUUUUUCUCUUCAUGCAGAAUUGAAAAUGUCAGAGAAACAAACCUGGUUUUCUAACCUGAAGACUGAAUUUGAGAACAGCCCUCUUGUGUCCAGAGCGGCCUUGGGCCUCAUCCUGACUGCCUGUGAGAAGGUAACGGAUGAGGAGUUCGCUUGCCCCUGCAUGUCAGAGUGGAAUGCGCCAUUUGCAGCAGCAUUUUUUGUUGUUCCAGCAGUUCUGAUCUUUGUGCUGAUGAACAUGCGAUGUUGCAAGAGUAAUAAGUGGAAAAAAAAUCUGCUUUUCGGCUUUAUCGAUGCACUGGUGUGGGUCGCCCUGGUGUUCAUGGAUGGCAACUACUUUGUGUGUGCCAUGACAACCUGGUCAGGGGAGUUCAUGACUGAUGUUGAAGGUGCUCCUCAGACAUGGUGCAAGCCCGACAACGAAACCCUAACAAAAGAGCUGAUGAUGCUGUCCCAACGAUGGUAUUCUCUUUCUCAGGGCAUUGGACUGUGGUUCAUCAUGUUCAUCGCUGUGCUGUUGGGAAUAUAUCAGUUCUGCAAAAAAGUAGAAGGAGAGCAAGAGCAAACCCAAGAAGGAUGUGAAUUAACCGCCCAGGACCAGAAAGUUUAAAGAGAAAACGGACACAACUUCAACUACACCGUCCUCCAAAAUUAAAUCAUGUUAGUAUUGACAUGUGUUUUCCCUUGUACAAUACAAGGAAUGUACAUUAAACACUGUAGCGUUCACUAUCACUUUGCUGCUUUUUGACAGUUCCCAAGAACAGAAUGACCUUUUUUGUUCCUUUAUUUGGCAGCAAUUUUUCACACACACACACACACACAUGCACGUGCGUGCGCGCACACACACACACACACACACACACACACACACAGUGUUAGAUACGCACAGGAUUUACAUGACUUGACCAUCAGUGACAAAACUCUCAGUUCAGUGCAGCUCAGGAUAUCCUCUCAACUCAAACCAACCCAUCCUGUUGUUUUGUAUCAGACAGGGUUUUCUUUUCACUGCUGGUUCAGCAACUUUGUAACCUUGUUUUCUCAGUUCUAGUUUGUUGUGACAGUUGGUUCAGCAUAAUGAACCUUUCUAUACUCUACUACAUGAACACACACAUAUCUGAAUCUAUGAUUUCGUUUUAACAAAAGUGAUUAUAAAUUGGAAUGAAAGAGACAUGCCAACCGAAUAUUACAUUCUCCCAAACACAGACUUUUACUCUAUAAUUCACAUUUAACAACAAUCUAAAUAAAAAUAAGAGAGUCACCAAAAUGCAUUAUAAUUGUAUCUAUCAGUGGUAAUUGACUUGAAGUUUAUCACAUCUAAACUUAAGCCCCAAUUUACACUUACAUGUAACUAGCAAGACUUGCACUGUUUUGACAUUAAAUUAAUUCAUAUCAGAGCUUUUUAUCCAUUUCUGCAGGAAAAGGUAAUCCAGCUUUUAAGAUCUACUACAGUGUUUGUUAUUUUCUAAGAUUACAAGUUUUGUACACAGUCAUUAAAGUACCUUCUAGUCUGUCCUUCAGUGUCAUAACUAGCUGACAUGUAGCUGCAUGUGACGUACAGCUCUGUUGUAAAUGAAAGUGUGGAUAAGGCCAUACAAUGUGUGAAAUUCACAUGCUAAUGCUACACAAGAGUCCAUGUGUAGUUGUAGGCAGAACAUAUUUGUGCCUUCUAGUGUCAAGUGAGUGCAAUUAAUAUGAAGUUGAUCAAGGUGGUUAACCUGAACAGAGCAGUACAUUUUUCAUAACAGCGGUGGCCUUGUCCUAAAAUAAAACUAAAUUUUCCGAAAAUUAAAAAAAAACAGACCCACAAAAACCAUAACUGGUAGAAUUUUUUGGACAUAUUAUGACACUGCAUAUAACAUUGUCCUUAUUAGAAGCCUGCACAGUCAUAACCUGCCAAAUAUCUACUUCACAAAAAUGGGAGAAAACACAGCACUAUACAGGUUGUUGAUUGAUCAGUAGCUUUCACAGCAAACUCAACACUUUGCAUAUACUCUCCUAUACUCUCCUAUAUACUCUUCUCCUCUUGUCAUUGAUAUAUCUGCAUGUGAUGACAAUGUCAUAGAGAGAUUUUUGUCCCCUCCCAGAAUAUUUUAUUUGAAUACUUGUCAGGGAAUACAGUUAACAUUUAAAUGCAGAAAGCAUGGAAUAAAGAUUAAUAAAAUAUAAACGUAAUUUUGUGUGUUAGAAAUAUAUUAUUUUCUGUUUUCCUGUCCUAUUAAUGAAAGCACAAAGCCGCAGAUUUAUCUUGGGACUAAAUUCUGUUGGUGGACUUUCAUGGUCAAAGCAGAUGUGGGCUGGGACCAGGUUACGUUGUUAAUAAUGUUCCCCUUCCAUGAACUUGGGUCUCUAGACGAUCUCUACAGCAGCAUGUCUAUGUAGAGAAGAGUGUGGGUGGGCGGCUGCCUCCUGAAAACGACAGUGAUCUCCUUGUUUUGCCGCCAUGAAGGUCCAGAUUGUUGAGGUUACACCAGUCCACCAGAUGUUUCACCUCCUUCCUGUACGCCAGCUCGUCUUUGUCCCCAAUGAGGCCCUUAACUGUUGUGUUGUCUGCAUACUUAAAGAUGUGAUUUGUAUCAAAUCUCACACAACAUUCAUGGGUCAUCAGCGUCAAGAGUAGCGGGCUCAGCACACAGCCAGUGCUCAUUCAGAUAGUGUUGGAGGCGAUCCUUCCCACAGGUAUAGAAUGGGGCCUGCAGAAAGUCCAGUAUCCAGUUGCACAUGGGGGGACUCAGACCCAGUGGACUCAGUUUGCUAACCAGGUGCUGAGGAUAUAUAUAUGUAUGUAUGUAUGUAUGUAUGUAUGUAUGUAUGUAUGUAUGUAUGUAUGUGCAGUGGUAUGCAAAAGUUUGGGCACCCCUUCCAGGAAAAUCACUGCAUCAGUUUGUCACUUGCUGAGCAUUUGAAGCAGCAACUUCAUUUUAACAUAUGUUAUACCUUUUGGAAACAGAAACAUCCCAGUAGUGAAAUCAUUUUCAUUGGUCCAACAGAAACAUUUGUAUGUGAAUUUAAACAAAAAUAGGCACGUGCAUAAACUUGGGCACCCAAAAGAAAAUUUUCUAUUAAUAUUUAGUUAUUGACUGUUCUUGUGGAUGAAUGCAAUUAAAAGGGUGCCCAAACAUUUGUAGAUCCCAGUUUUUGCAUUUUAUUAUAUUAUAUUAAAACUAUGUAAUGCCACUCUAAGAAUUUCAGGUUUGGAAAACACUCAAAUGUCUACAUCUCUGUAGGAAAACAAAUCUUGUUGCUGUGAUCUUCUCUUAUAAAGGUAGAGCAAAUUAUCAUGAAAUCUCAGUGGGGUUUCCAAACUUUUACAUACCACUCUAUGUAUGUAUUGCAUACUGGUGAAGUGGUUAUCACUCUUAGUAGCUACUCAUAUUAAUGUACCUACUAACUAAAAAUCAGCUAAAAAAGAGACGUGAAAGGACAAGUAAAGGUAAAUACAAGUUAUUUGUACAAGCUAUCUCUACAUAGCAUUGUUUGUAUUACCCUGCUAUUAUUAUGGAAAACACAAUAAUUCUUUUUAGUGCAAUUUUCAAAUUGUUGGAUCUGUUUUCACGCAAACAGUAUUGUGUAUCAUACUGUUAUGCACUAGUACAAGACACGAUGUGUUAUCUUUUGUCACCUACAAGCUUGUUGCAGGUGAUGUGGCAAAUUGCUUUGCAACUGCAGAAAAUGGAUUUAAUGCAGAGUACCAGUUUCACCCCGGUGGCGGCUUUUGGAAAAGGAGGAAUAUUACGCCUCCCUUUUAGAAAGACAGGGCUCUUUGCCGCCCUGUGCUGCCUUUUCUAUCUAAAAAGGGGUUAUGUUGUACAUUGUAUGAAAGAUUAUUAUAUGUAUGUAUGUACAAGCCUUUAUGCAUGAAAGUAUGCAUGUAUGUGCAAGCCCUUAGUACCAGUGAAGUAUUCCAUUUUGGCCUAGAUGGCCUCUAAAAUGUUUUGUGCUGUUCCUGAAGUUGGGUAAACACAAUGGUGACAGAAAAUGUUUUAUCACACACCCUGUUAUCAUGUUGUAAUUAGA
RNAcentral lists this long non-coding RNA (4037 nucleotides) under Sparus aurata (gilthead seabream). RNAcentral describes it as "lncRNA (ENSSAUG00010015880.1)". The record is from RNAcentral. Lineage: Eukaryota; Metazoa; Chordata; Actinopteri; Spariformes; Sparidae.